GGCCGGUUGGCGUAAUGGCAACGCGUCAGUUUCCGGUUCCCCAAACCUGAGAUUGCUGAAGAUUGCGGGUUCGAGUCCCGUGCUGGUCG
Molecule: transfer RNA, 89 nt
Filed under: Rosellinia necatrix
Lineage: Eukaryota; Fungi; Ascomycota; Sordariomycetes; Xylariales; Xylariaceae
Rfam family: tRNA
About the family: Transfer RNA (tRNA) molecules are approximately 80 nucleotides in length. Their secondary structure includes four short double-helical elements and three loops (D, anti-codon, and T loops).
Source: Rfam by way of RNAcentral